This 162-nucleotide small nuclear RNA is filed under the name Melopsittacus undulatus (budgerigar). RNAcentral describes it as "U1 spliceosomal RNA (ENSMUNG00000009165.2)". It matches the Rfam family "U1 spliceosomal RNA". Rfam says of the family: U1 is a small nuclear RNA (snRNA) component of the spliceosome (involved in pre-mRNA splicing). Its 5' end forms complementary base pairs with the 5' splice junction, thus defining the 5' donor site of an intron. The record is from RNAcentral. Lineage: Eukaryota; Metazoa; Chordata; Aves; Psittaciformes; Psittaculidae.
AUCUUUAUCUGGCAGGGGAGAUACCAUGAUCAGGCAGGUUGUUUUUGCAGGGUGAGCCUCAUUCCCUGCACUCUGGAUGUGCUGACCCCUCUGAUUUCCGCAAAUGUGGGAAACUAGAUUGCAUAAUUUGUGGUAGUGGGGACUGCAUUUGUGCUUUCCCCU